AGAGGAAUACAGUUUUGUGAUAUUUGUUUUCGGAAAAUGUUAAUAUUCUUCUAUUGGAAUUGACUUUACUUAUGGUUGGAAUAUUUUCAAUUUCAUUUGGAUUUUUAUAUAUUUCCAAAAGUUUUAGAAAUGUGUGAAACAUGGUUUUAAGAGAUGUAUUUUAAGAAUUGCGGUUAUAAUGACGACGGCCUAGGUGCACCUAGUUAUAUAAUAUCGAGUAGAAAAGGGCUAUCCGUUAGAUGGAGCCGCCCCUAAGUGAAAGGCCACUCUUAGGUGGAAAGGGCUAUCAACGAGAUGGAGCCGUCUCUCGAUUCUCUCAUAACGAAUUGGCUAUCAACGAGCUGUAGACUUCCUAAUUAAAGAUGAGGAUGUGUUUUCGUAAUUGAGGAGAAAAGGGCUAUCCGUUAGAUGGAGCCGCCCCUAAGUGAAAGGCCGCUCUUAGGAGGAAAGGGCUAUCAACGAGAUGGAGCCGUCUCUCGAUUCUAUCGUAA
RNAcentral lists this long non-coding RNA (491 nucleotides) under Trifolium pratense (red clover). RNAcentral describes it as "long non-coding RNA (TPRA_LNC002755)". Lineage: Eukaryota; Viridiplantae; Streptophyta; Magnoliopsida; Fabales; Fabaceae. The record is from RNAcentral.